UACGGGGGGGGCAAGCGUUGUUCGGAAUUACUGGGCGUAAAGCGUGCGCAGGCGGCUUUGCAAGACAGAUGUGAAAUCCCCGGGCUUAACCUGGGAACUGCAUUUGUGACUGCAUGACUGGAGUGCGGCAGAGGGGGAUGGAAUUCCGCGUGUAGCAGUGAAAUGCGUAGAUAUGCGGAGGAACACCGAUGGCGAAGGCAAUCCCCUGGGCCUGCACUGACGCUCAUGCACGAAAGCGUGGGGAGCAAACAGG
This 253-nucleotide ribosomal RNA is filed under the name uncultured bacterium. Its description in RNAcentral is "partial 16S ribosomal RNA". It matches the Rfam family "Bacterial small subunit ribosomal RNA", at positions 524 to 776 of the family's 1533-position model. The record is from RNAcentral.